Molecule: ribosomal RNA, 608 nt
Filed under: Cicindela hybrida
Lineage: Eukaryota; Metazoa; Arthropoda; Insecta; Coleoptera; Carabidae
Description: partial 16S ribosomal RNA
Rfam family: Bacterial large subunit ribosomal RNA
Source: RNAcentral
AGGUCUAACCUGCCCAAUGAGGAAUUAAAUGGCCGCAGUAUUUUGACUGUGCAAAGGUAGCAUAAUUAUUAGUUUUUUAAUUGAAAGCUUGUAUGAAGGGUUGGACGAGAUAAAAUCUGUCUUUAUUUAAAUUACAAUAGAAUUUAACUUUUAAGUCAAAAGGCUUAAAUGUAUAUAAAAGACGAGAAGACCCUAUAGAUCUUUAUUUAAUUAAUAUUUUGAUAAUUUAGGAUUAUUUUAGUUUAAAGUUUUAAUUAAAUUUUAUUGGGGUAAUAUAAAGAUUAAAUAAAUUCUUUUUAUUUAUUACAUUGAUUUAUGAAUAUAUGAUCCAAUAUUAUUGAUUAUAAGAUUAAGUUACCUUAGGGAUAACAGCGUAAUUUUUUUGGAGAGCUCAUAUCGAUAAAAAAGUUUGCGACCUCGAUGUUGGAUUAAAAAUUAGCUUGGGUGCAGAAGCUCAAGAUUUUGGUCUGUUCGACCAUUAAAUUUUUACAUGAUCUGAGUUCAGACCGGCGUAAGCCAGGUCGGUUUCUAUCUUUAUUUAUCUAAAAUAUUUUAGUACGAAAGGACCAAAUAUUUAAUAUAAUUAUAUUUAUUUUUUGAAUAAUAUU